Molecule: ribosomal RNA, 468 nt
Filed under: uncultured bacterium
Lineage: Bacteria
Description: partial 16S ribosomal RNA
Rfam family: Bacterial small subunit ribosomal RNA
Source: RNAcentral
GACGAACGCUGGCGGCGUGCUUAACACAUGCAAGUCGAACGGAAAGGCCCUGCUUUUGUGGGGUGCUCGAGUGGCGAACGGGUGAGUAACACGUGAGUAACCUGCCCUUGACUUUGGGAUAACUUCAGGAAACUGGGGCUAAUACCGGAUAGGAGCUCCUGCUGCAUGGUGGGGGUGGGAAAGUUUCGGCGGGUGGGGAUGGACUCGCGGCUUAUCAGCUUGUUGGUGGGGGAGUGGCUUACCAAGGCUUGGACGGGUAGCCGGCCUGAGAGGGUGACCGGCCACAUUGGGCCUGAGAUACGGCCCAGACUCCUACGGGAGGCAGCAGUGGGGAAUAUUGCCCAAUGGGCGGAAGCCUGAUGCAGAAACGCCGCGUGCGGGAUGACGGCCUUCGGGUUGUAAACCGCUUUCGCCUGUGACGAAGCGUGAGUGACGGUAAUGGGUAAAGAAGCACCGGCUAACUACGUG